Xyrichtys novacula (pearly razorfish) is the source of this 968-nucleotide non-coding RNA. NCBI's taxonomy places the organism in Eukaryota, Metazoa, Chordata, Actinopteri, Labriformes, Labridae. The record is from the annotation of a GenBank genome assembly.
GGACACUGAGUUUUUUUACUUUAUUCAAAUUUGACAAGAUAAAUUACAGGUUAUAAAGGGGUCAAAGGGCAGGGAUUGACAUGCAACAAAGGUUCCCAUCCUCCUUCAUUCAAAAACAGUGAUAACCUGAUUCAAGCUGACUCUAUGUGAAAACGCAUUGAUAAUUCCUCAGAUGUGAGUGUGAGUCAUUGAAUCGGUCUAAUCUGUGUGCUGCAAUCCCGCUCAUCUUUGUUUAUGCAUGAGCAUCUGUGCACACAAACCAAGAUAUUCCACCAUGUCAGUCUUUGUGUGCGUGCCGCUACUGUGUGCACUCAAACUGUGAUUUUCUCUGUGCGUGUAUAAAAAACAUAUGGUGAGUCAGUGUGUAGGAGUGGAGCGCCAGAGUGUGUCGGUGGGAGGAGGGAGUGAGGAGAGGAGAGGAGAGGAGAGGAGAGGAGAGGAGGUGGUAGUGGUAAAUAGGAGAAGAGGAUUCAGGUUGUGCACCAAUAGGUGGCACUCUACCCUUUUGUGAUUGUCUACAGUGACCCAGACUGAGUCGGGUCUGGAAGCACAUGCGUUUGCAUCCGAAGGGAACAGGAAGUUGGGUCAGGAGAGUUGCUUUUUUUUUUUUCCCGGUCCUGUAGUUAUUUCUGUUUGCUUGGCUGCUCUUAGUGUGGAGGAAUAAAAGGAAAGUGAAAGGUGAGAGUGAUGGAGGGUGAGGGUGGAGGUUACACCACGCUGGAUGGGUGAAUGGAGAGUCAACACUUUGGGGUCAAAGACGUAGUAUUCUCCCUGGACAAAUUCUUGCUUUUAUUAAGAAAAAAAAUAGAUUUAUGGGGUUUGAAGCUUUUUUUUCUGCAUGACUCUCUAUCUGAACCAUAAUAUGUAGGGGAAAGUGGGGUAGGAUGAGCCAUUUUUCAUAUUUCAGAUCACUACAUUAAGACAAUCCUAGUUUUGUCUCUAACUAGUGUAUCUGCAUAUAUUUCAAG